GCCGGGCCCCGUGGCUGGUGCCUGUGAUCCCAGCUCCCGGGGAGGCUGAGGCCGAGGCCGGCGGAUCGCUUGAGCUCGGGAGUUCUGGGCUGCAGCGGGCUGUGCCGAUCGGGUGUCCGCACUAAAUUCGGCAUCAAUAUGGUGAUCCCGGGGGAGCUUGGGGUCCCCAGGUUGCCUAAGGAGGGGUGAACCGGCCCAGGUCGGGAACGGAGCAGGUCAAAACUCCCGUGCCGAUCAGUAGUGGGAUUGCGCCUGUGAAUAGCCCCUGCAGCGUAGCCUGGGCAAGACAGUGAGACACGGUCUCUU
This is an unclassified non-coding RNA of Gopherus evgoodei (Goodes thornscrub tortoise), 306 nucleotides long. It matches the Rfam family "Metazoan signal recognition particle RNA". Rfam says of the family: The signal recognition particle (SRP) is a universally conserved ribonucleoprotein. Lineage: Eukaryota; Metazoa; Chordata; Testudines; Testudinidae. The record is from Ensembl.